GACGAACGCUGGCGGCGUGCUUAACACAUGCAAGUCGAACGGAAAGGCCCUGCUUUUGUGGGGUGCUCGAGUGGCGAACGGGUGAGUAACACGUGAGUAACCUGCCCUUGACUUUGGGAUAACUUCAGGAAACUGGUGCUAAUACUGGAUAUGUGCUCCUGCUGCAUGGUGGGGGUUGGAAAGCUCCGGCGGUGGUGGAUGGACUCGCGGCCUAUCAGCUUGUUGGUGGGGUAGUGGCCUACCAAGGCGGCGACGGGUAGCCGGCCUGAGAGGGUGAGCGGCGACAUUGGGACUGAGAGAAGGCACAGACUGGUAAGGGAGGAAGAAGUGGGGAAUAUUGAACCAGGGGCGCAAGCCUGAUGAAGAAGCGCCGCGGGCGGGAUGACGGCUUUGGGGUUGAAAAAAGCUUUCAGCAGAGAAGAAGCCUUUUGUGACGGUACCUGAAGAAGAAGCACCGGCUAACUACGUG
Molecule: ribosomal RNA, 469 nt
Filed under: uncultured bacterium
Lineage: Bacteria
Description: partial 16S ribosomal RNA
Rfam family: Bacterial small subunit ribosomal RNA
Source: RNAcentral